UUUNNAAGUAAAAAAUCGUAACAAGGUCUCCGUUGGUGAACCAGCGGAGGGAUCAUUACCGAGUUAUACAACUCAUCAACCCUGUGAACAUACCUAAAACGUUGCUUCGGCGGGAACAGACGGCCCUGUAACAACGGGCCGCCCCCGCCAGAGGACCCCUAACUCUGUUUUUAUAAUGUUUUUCUGAGUAAACAAGCAAAUAAAUUAAAACUUUCAACAACGGAUCUCUUGGCUCUGGCAUCGAUGAAGAACGCAGCGAAAUGCGAUAAGUAAUGUGAAUUGCAGAAUUCAGUGAAUCAUCGAAUCUUUGAACGCACAUUGCGCCCGCCAGUAUUCUGGCGGGCAUGCCUGUUCGAGCGUCAUUACAACCCUCAGGCCCCCGGGCCUGGCGUUGGGGAUCGGCGGAAGCCCCCUGUGGGCACACGCCGUCCCUCAAAUACAGUGGCGGUCCCGCCGCAGCUUCCAUUGCGUAGUAGCUAACACCUCGCAACUGGAGAGCGGCGCGGCCAUGCCGUAAAACACCCAACUUCUGAAUGUUGACCUCGAAUCAGGUAGGAAUACCCGCUGAACUUAAGCAUAUCAUAANNCCG
Molecule: unclassified non-coding RNA, 590 nt
Filed under: Fusarium solani
Lineage: Eukaryota; Fungi; Ascomycota; Sordariomycetes; Hypocreales; Nectriaceae
Description: sequence contains ITS1, 5.8S rRNA gene, ITS2
Rfam family: 5.8S ribosomal RNA (bases 209-362)
Source: RNAcentral